UAGCUCUUCACGGCGAGGUUUUAUAUUACUCAGCGAGGGGACAAAGCCAGCUGUCUCUCCCGCUAAUCUCCGCCUCUGCGGAGGGAGACGCACUGCCUGCGUUUGUCUUAUUACCAAACGCACCCCGAGACUUUAAGUACCGAGGCUCUGAUAUGUUUACCUUUACUCUUUUGCAGACGUCAUUUGAAGCUUUAUCUGUGUAUUGACACAGGGGGAUUAGGUUGGUGUGAAACAAGGCUUCUUUAUCAGUCCCAGCUCUUAGACGCUCCAUAAUCCCUACAAAGAGAACCAAGAGAGGGAGACAAACGUCUCAUACAUUCGCCAUAUAUCUCGCUGAGGCGACGGUUUCCAUGGCAACACGGGGCAUUUGUUUGAUAGGCUGUGACUGGCCCGCAUCAUCUCCUCAACACCCUCCAUCUCUGACUGGCAGUGUGAAAAUUACAUUGAUUUCAUCCCAAAUUAACUGCCAUCGUUUUGACACACCACUUCAACUGUCUACUCAAGACACCAUGUGGACUUCCUCAGCACGCGGAUGUAUGCAGUUUCCCGCGAACGCAGAUGCAGGUACUCAAUAUCAGCUGUGUGGUAGCCAUCUCUCUGUCCUCUCCUGAGCACUCGGAAGCGACUUCCUCCCACUGUUUCCACAUAGGAGCGACCAUCAGGAAGCAAAUCCAGAUCCAAAAUAUCCAAC
Molecule: long non-coding RNA, 691 nt
Organism: Carassius carassius (crucian carp)
Lineage: Eukaryota; Metazoa; Chordata; Actinopteri; Cypriniformes; Cyprinidae
Exons: 3
Source: RefSeq, a predicted model, not a curated record